This 252-nucleotide ribosomal RNA is filed under the name uncultured bacterium. Its description in RNAcentral is "partial 16S ribosomal RNA". It matches the Rfam family "Bacterial small subunit ribosomal RNA", at positions 39 to 305 of the family's 1533-position model. The record is from RNAcentral.
GCGGCACGCCUAACACAUGCAAGUCGAGCGCUCACUUCGGUGGGAGCGGCGGACGGGUGAGUAACGCGUAGGAAUCUACCUAAUAGUGGGGGAUAGCCCAGGGAAACUUGGAUUAAUACCGCAUACGCCCUACGGGGGAAAGCGGGGGAUCUUCGGACCUCGUGCUAUUAGAUGAGCCUGCGUAAGAUUAGCUUGUUGGUGAGGUAAGAGCUCACCAAGGCGACGAUCUUUAGCUGUUCUGAGAGGAUGAUC